Cygnus olor (mute swan) is the source of this 2997-nucleotide long non-coding RNA. RefSeq lists it as uncharacterized. NCBI's taxonomy places the organism in Eukaryota, Metazoa, Chordata, Aves, Anseriformes, Anatidae. The record is from RefSeq and is a predicted model, not a curated record. The transcript has 3 exons.
GGAAAGAAAAAAAUACCCCGCGUUUAGUCUGAUCCAGCAUUAAAUGAUGAGUGAAUAAAGUCAAAACUUUGAUUUGUAUAAACGAGAUUUCAAGGAAUUAAAAACAGAAAAUCAUUUUCUUUUCCUCCUUGAAGUUAGUUAAUUCUAUAUUAUCACUGAGCUUUGUCUAGUUAAAAAACAGACAAACAAACAAAAAAAACCAAAUCUUUGCUACAGUAACUGAAAUUUUGUGCAAAAAUUCCAAAAUCUUAACAUCCCCUCUUAUACAUGCAGUAUUAGUUCUUUGAAAAAAGGCUCUUGGAAGCCAGACUGAAAACAAGGCACUCCAAAAAAAAAAAAAAAAAAGUGGACAGUAGAACUACAGGCAGACAUAGCUGAGACUGUUUAAUAACAUAUAAUAAAAGAACUACAUUGCAUUAUAUUUAAUAGUAAUGUUAAUUUUAAAAGCUGACAAUUGACUUUUCUUGGUGAAGAAACCAAACAAUAUCAUUUUUCUCUUAAUAGGGUUGACUACUCUGAAUAAAGACGCAUGCUUGUGAUACUGGAUACUGGCAUCAUCUUCCUCAGUUCAAGUGGAACUAAUGGACAAAGAUAUCCAAGAACACCGAAGACUAAAAGGUUGGUCAAGAAGACGGCUUUCUCAAGGAGACAGCAUGUAUUUUACACCAGCUUGGAAGACUUAACUUGGGAACUUUUAGCAGAAGCAUUGUCUUCUCAGCAGACACACAACUAAUCCUCAGAUAUAACCAAGAGAAGAACUUCAGUGACCCAGAGGAACAGAAUAGAGGUUGCUGCAUCUCUAGAACCGUCUGAUCACUGCGAGCUAAAGAAUAGGACUGAAAGACCUUUUAUGCAAGACAUGGAAGAUUUGUAUUCCCACUUCUGUUUCACCAUCUCUCCUAAAAGAGCUGAGAUUUCCAUGAAGUUAUACCAAGUGAUCGUACAUUGCACCUUCCUCAAGAAGGGAGUUUUACUGCACCACUGAUAUUUCUCUUUUCAUUCAGUUGCACUAUUUCCUGCAAGACCUUAGUUUAUUGGAUGUGUGGAAGUUCUCUCAUUUCGUUGUUUCUCUUGGAUAAAAAUAACCCUCAACCGCAUUUCAGAGGCUUGAAACUGAAGUUCAGCAUUGGUCUUCAUGUCACUCAAAGAUGAGUUAUGUAACUUUCUCACUGUACCUAUUGAAGAUAUUUUAAUGUCACACUGUGCCAAGACCUGACUUCAGUAUAUGGUUUACUGAGUUUUCAAAACUGGCAUCAGCAACAGAAAUUGUUGUGCUGAAGCCUGAAACCCUAAGUGGGGAAAGAUCCAACUUUAUUUGUUGUAUCAAAGCAGAUCUAGACUACUAGAUCAUUGCCUCAUUUUAAGAAUGACCUUUGAUGUUGCUAAUCUUCCUGAGGAGGAAAACCUAUAUGCGCCCAUCUGAUGUUAGUAAAAGAAACUAUUUUGAGGGGCCUGUUGAGGAAGCUGAAGGGACCGUUGGCAUAAGUCCAUUUUAUCCAGCUAAAAAUAAUGAUAAUAAACAAAACUCUCUUGAGACACUUCUUUGGUUUGAAGAGAAAAACUGAUUUUACAGCUGAUUUACUGUCUCUGGCUGCCUGCUGCUUACAAGACAGGUGACUGCAGAGAUUUAGAAAGCAGAUGUUUCCUACUUCAGUAUUUUGUAGACAUACUAGGAAUGGAAAAACUGCAUCGAAAUUUGCCUGGUCUGGCUGAUCAGAAAAAGCAGCAUUUAGAGACCCUUCCCCUUCCUCUCUGUCAAAAUCCAACAGUUUUCUAUUGAGAAAAAUGAAGUAUAUAGGAGACAUUCUAAAAUGUAUAAAUAUCUCUGAGAUCUAAUAGGUCCUGAUUCCCUCCUGGUUUUGCUGCAACCCUGAGUGAAGAUGCUGUGUCCAGGCAACACAAGGUAGUGAGCAUCCUGUUGUUUUAAAAAGAUUAAGCUCUUCUCUUUCUAGUUGUAGGAUUCUAUCAAACUGAUAAGCAAAAUGCUUAGGUAUUUUGACAUAUUUUACCUGUUAAAUUUUGGACUAUGAUCGUUUCAUCUGACAAACUGCAGGCUCAAUGGUCAAGGGAAAAAAAGUUUUGAAUAGAGAGAUCAUUUGCAUCUACGGACAUUUAUUUUUUUUUUAAACAUUUUUUGAAUGGUACUAGAGUUUCAUUUCAUUUUACUUAUUUAUCAUAAUGCUUUCAGGAUUUUAAAGAUUAUUCAUGCGUCUUGGUUAGCAUUUCCUAGACCACAGAGGUAUCUGUUAAGAAAGGCCCUUUACCUAGAGUUUUAUACACCUACUAAUCACAAACAAAUGUUGUCCUACCCAUUAAGUUCUUUCUCAUUAAUUCCAGCAUCUAUUUUUACUAUUCCUGGGCCUACGCAAAAGCAUGGAGAUGGUUAAUACUUACCUGUGAAUAUAUGAGCAAUUAUUCUGGAGCAAACAGGCUAAGAGUAAUGCUUUAAAACUAGAUUCUUGUUAGAGUCUUGGUCUUAUAUUGAGGGGAAAAAAUAUGCAAAUGAGAUUAAAAUUUUAUUUGAAGAAUGGUAUUACCAUUGGAUUUGGUUUAGAUUUCUAUUUACGAGUUUUGGAAGUGUUAGCUCCAAACAUCAAGCUAAAUUCCUUUAUGACUCAUGCAUCAUUAAUUACAUACUGUACUAAGAAUUUAAUGCUCUUUUCAUCCACUGACAGGUAAAAUUAAAAAGUCUUUCAGUCUCCUUCAGAUUUACUAACUCAAAUACUUCCAAACAAAAACCGAUAUCAUUAAAUUCCAAUUAAAAGUUUAUGAUGAGAAAGACAAGAUUAUUUAGAUGUGAAGAUAUCACAAUUUCAAACAAACUAGAUGUACUUUUUAAUUUAGCUAAACACAAUACCAUGGGAGAAAAAAUUAAAAGAAGAUGAGACCAAAAGAGAGAUGGAAAUGAAUUCCAGUAACACAUUUAUUCUUAAACAGAGAAACAAAGCAAACAUUUAUUAGUAUUCUUAUCAUAUCCCAGUGAAAAUACUUUGAAAA